GAGAGAGAGACAUGCGCGCAUAUCAAUAAGCGGAGGAAAAGAAACUAACAAGGAUUCCCUUAGUAACGGCGAGUGAAGUGGGAAGAGCUCAAAUUUGAAAUCUUCAAGGUUUUACCUUGACGAAUUGUAGUUUAAAGAAGUGUUUUCUGCUGAAGUUUUGGUAAAAGUUCUUUGGAAUAGGACAUCAUAGAGGGUGAGAAUCCCGUAUUUGACCAUUAUUUUCAGCUUUGUGAUACACUUUCAAAGAGUCGGAUUGUUUGGGAAUGCAGUCCAAAAUGGGUGGUAAAUUUCAUCUAAAGCUAAAUAUUGGCGAGAGACCGAUAGCGAACAAGUACCGUGAGGGAAAGAUGAAAAGAACUUUGAAAAGAGAGUUAAACAGUACGUGAAAUUGUCAAAAGGGAAGCGUUUGACACCAGUGUUGUUUUCUCGAAAAUCAAUUAAAAAUGGCUCGAUUUUGUAUUGCUUGAGACCUUAAAAGCUCACUGUACAUUUUUCGUGUCUUUUUUAAUGCACUUUUCGUUUAACAGGUCAACAUCAGUUUCUUUUGUUGUAAAAGGGUCAUUGGAAGGUGGCUUUCUUUUCGGAGAAAGUGUUUAUAGCCUUUGGCCUCUGCAAUCGGAGAGACUGAGGUCUGCAGCGUAGACUCUUCGGGGUUAGAUACAUUUGUGCUAAGUUAUAGCCUUUUCAUAGACAACUUGUUGACUAUAAUCAGUCAUGUAGCUUACUCGCUUAUGCUAUUUUACCUACGCUUAGGAUGUUGAGUCGUAGAGCACGCAG
Molecule: ribosomal RNA, 777 nt
Filed under: uncultured Neocallimastigales
Lineage: Eukaryota; Fungi; Neocallimastigomycota; Neocallimastigomycetes; Neocallimastigales
Description: partial large subunit ribosomal RNA
Rfam family: Eukaryotic large subunit ribosomal RNA
Source: RNAcentral